GAAGGAUCCAAGCGUUAUCCGGAUUUAUUGGGUUUAAAGGGUGCGUAGGCGGACUAUUAAGUCAGUGGUGAAAGCCUGCAGCUUAACUGCAGAACUGCCAUUGAUACUGAUGGUCUUGAGUACAUUUGAGGUGGGCGGAAUGUGUCAUGUAGUGGUGAAAUACUUAGAUAUGACACAGAACUCCGAUUGCGAAGGCAGCUCACUAAACUGUAACUGACGCUGAGGCACGAAAGCGUGGGGAUCAAACAGGAUUAGAUACCCUGGUAGUCCACGCCCUAAACGAUGAUUACUCGAUGUGUGCGAUACACUGUACGCGUCUGAGCGAAAGCAUUAAGUAAUCCACCUGGGGAGUACGGCCGCAAGGCUG
RNAcentral lists this ribosomal RNA (367 nucleotides) under uncultured bacterium. Its description in RNAcentral is "bacterial SSU rRNA". It matches the Rfam family "Bacterial small subunit ribosomal RNA", at positions 527 to 896 of the family's 1533-position model. The record is from RNAcentral.